AAGGACUUAAACAUAAGACGGGAGUGCCGCCAGGAUAUGAGUGAAUGCAACAGGAACCGCAGGGGAGUCCAAAGAGCUGCGCCUCCCGGUGGCUCAGCCUCAUUUCAGACCUGUGACAUCU
Molecule: small nucleolar RNA, 121 nt
Organism: Eptesicus fuscus (big brown bat)
Lineage: Eukaryota; Metazoa; Chordata; Mammalia; Chiroptera; Vespertilionidae
Product: small nucleolar RNA SNORA14
Exons: 1
Source: RefSeq, a predicted model, not a curated record